AAGUUUUCCCGAAUUUUAGAGGGCUAAAAGCUUAUAAAUUUUAAUGUUGAAAAAUUAUUUAUAAUAAGUUUUUUGUAAUUAUAUGUUAGUCAUUCUUUAUUAUAUCUGGUUUUCUAAGAAAUUAAUUUAAUUAACCAAAGUAAAGAAUUUUAUUAAAAAAUUUAAUUUUUAUUUUAGGAAUUUCUAAGGGGAUAAGCUUUUAGAAAAAUUAUUAUAAUAUAAAACGUUUUGUUUUAAAUAGGAUUAGAAGUUUUCAUUUUUGGCAGUGUAUUUUAACUGAAUCUAGAAUUAUUGUGAUUUUUUUAUAUUUAAAGUUUUAUUAGAAUAAGAAAAUUAAUUUUAUAUUUUAUGUAAUAAUGAUAAAAUUAGUAAAUAAAUUUGUUAAAGGCAAAAGUUGAAAAAAAUUAUUUUAAGGAAUUCGGCAAAUUAAUUUUCCGCCUGUUUAAUAAAAACAUGUCUUUUUGGUUAUUAUUUAAAGUCCGACCUGCCCAAUGAUUAAUUUAAUGGCCGCGGUAUUUUGACCGUGCAAAGGUAGCAUAAUCAUUAGUUUUUUAAUUGAAAGCUGGAAUGAAUGGUUCGACGAGAAAAUAACUGUCUUAAAAUUAUGGGUUUGAAUUUUAUUUUUGAGUGAGAAAGCUCAAAUUAGUAUAAGGGACGAGAAGACCCUAUAGAAUUUUAUUAUUUUGUUAUUAUAGUUAAGGUUUGGGAGAUUUAGUUUUACAUUAAUAAAUUAAUUUUGUUGGGGCGAUAAAAAAAUUUAAUUAACUUUUUUUCUUAUUAUACACUAAUUCGUGAUUUAUUGAUCCAUUAAUGAUGAUUAUAAGAAUAAAUUACCUUAGGGAUAACAGCGUUAUUAAUUUGGAGAGUUCUUAUCGAUAAAUUAGUUUGCGACCUCGAUGUUGGAUUAAAAUUAACUUUUGGUGUAAGGGCUGAGAAGUUAAGUCUGUUCGACUUUU
Molecule: ribosomal RNA, 956 nt
Filed under: Prismognathus angularis angularis
Lineage: Eukaryota; Metazoa; Arthropoda; Insecta; Coleoptera; Lucanidae
Description: partial 16S ribosomal RNA
Rfam family: Archaeal large subunit ribosomal RNA (bases 396-641)
Source: RNAcentral